UACGUAGGGUGCAAGCGUUGUUCGGAAUUACUGGGCGUAAAGCGCACGCAGGCGGCUUUGUAAGUUAGAGGUGAAAGCCCGGGGCUCAACUCCGGAAUUGCCUUUAAGACUGCAUCGCUAGAAUUGUGGAGAGGUAAGUGGAAUUCCGAGUGUAGAGGUGAAAUUCGUAGAUAUUCGGAAGAACACCAGUGGCGAAGGCGACUUACUGGACACAUAUUGACGCUGAGGUGCGAAAGCGUGGGGAGCAAACAGG
This 253-nucleotide ribosomal RNA is filed under the name uncultured bacterium. RNAcentral's name for it is "partial 16S ribosomal RNA". It matches the Rfam family "Bacterial small subunit ribosomal RNA", at positions 524 to 776 of the family's 1533-position model. The record is from RNAcentral.